Molecule: ribosomal RNA, 492 nt
Filed under: uncultured bacterium
Lineage: Bacteria
Description: partial 16S ribosomal RNA
Rfam family: Bacterial small subunit ribosomal RNA
Source: RNAcentral
GGUGAACGCUGGCGGUAGGCCUAACACAUGCAAGUCGAACGGCAGCACAGUAAGAGCUUGCUCUUACGGGUGGCGAGUGGCGGACGGGUGAGGAAUACAUCGGAAUCUACUUUUUCGUGGGGGAUAACGUAGGGAAACUUACGCUAAUACCGCAUACGACCUACGGGUGAAAGCAGGGGAUCUUCGGACCUUGCGCGAUUGAAUGAGCCGAUGUCGGAUUAGCUAGUUGGCGGGGUAAAGGCCCACCAAGGCGAGGAUCCGUAGCUGGUCUGAGAGGGUGAUCAGCCACACUGGAACUGGGACACGGUCCAGACUCCUACGAGAGGCAGCAGUGGGGAAUAUUGGACAAUGGGCGCAAGCCUGAUCCAGCCAUACCGCGUGGGUGAAGAAGGCCUUCGGGUUGUAAAGCCCUUUUGUUGGGAAAGAAAAGCAGCAGGUUAAUACCCCGCUGUUCUGACGGUACCCAAAGAAUAAGCACCGGCUAACUUCGUG